This 1372-nucleotide ribosomal RNA is filed under the name uncultured bacterium. RNAcentral describes it as "bacterial SSU rRNA". It matches the Rfam family "Bacterial small subunit ribosomal RNA", at positions 28 to 1381 of the family's 1533-position model. The record is from RNAcentral.
GAUGAACGCUGGCGGCGUGCCUAAUACAUGCAAGUCGAGCGAACGGACGAGAACCUUGCUUCUCUGAUGUUAGCGGCGGACGGGUGAGUAACACGUGGAUAACCUACCUAUAAGACUGGGAUAACUUCGGGAAACCGGAGCUAAUACCGGAUAAUAUUUUGAACCGCAUGGUUCAAAAGUGAAAGACGGUCUUGCUGUCACUUAUAGAUGGAUCCGCGCUGCAUUAGCUAGUUGGUAAGGUAACGGCUUACCAGGGCAACGAUGCAUAGCCGACCUGAGAGGGUGAUCGGCCACACUGGAACUGAGACACGGUCCAGACUCCUACGGGAGGCAGCAGUAGGGAAUCUUCCGCAAUGGGCGAAAGCCUGACGGAGCAACGCCGCGUGAGUGAUGAAGGUCUUCGGAUCGUAAAACUCUGUUAUUAGGGAAGAACAUAUGUGUAAGUAACUGUGCACAUCUUGACGGUACCUAAUCAGAAAGCCACGGCUAACUACGUGCCAGCAGCCGCGGUAAUACGUAGGUGGCAAGCGUUAUCCGGAAUUAUUGGGCGUAAAGCGCGCGUAGGCGGUUUUUUAAGUCUGAUGUGAAAGCCCACGGCUCAACCGUGGAGGGUCAUUGGAAACUGGAAAACUUGAGUGCAGAAGAGGAAAGUGGAAUUCCAUGUGUAGCGGUGAAAUGCGCAGAGAUAUGGAGGAACACCAGUGGCGAAGGCGACUUUCUGGUCUGUAACUGACGCUGAUGUGCGAAAGCGUGGGGAUCAAACAGGAUUAGAUACCCUGGUAGUCCACGCCGUAAACGAUGAGUGCUAAGUGUUAGGGGGUUUCCGCCCCUUAGUGCUGCAGCUAACGCAUUAAGCACUCCGCCUGGGGAGUACGACCGCAAGGUUGAAACUCAAGGGAAUUGACGGGGACCCGCACAAGCGGUGGAGCAUGUGGUUUAAUUCGAAGCAACGCGAAGAACCUUACCAAAUCUUGACAUCCUUUGACAACUCUAGAGAUAGAGCCUUCCCCUUCGGGGGACAAAGUGACAGGUGGUGCAUGGUUGUCGUCAGCUCGUGUCGUGAGAUGUUGGGUUAAGUCCCGCAACGAGCGCAACCCUUAAGCUUAGUUGCCAUCAUUAAGUUGGGCACUCUAAGUUGACUGCCGGUGACAAACCGGAGGAAGGUGGGGAUGACGUCAAAUCAUCAUGCCCCUUAUGAUUUGGGCUACACACGUGCUACAAUGGACAAUACAAAGGGCAGCGAAACCGCGAGGUCAAGCAAAUCCCAUAAAGUUGUUCUCAGUUCGGAUUGUAGUCUGCAACUCGACUACAUGAAGCUGGAAUCGCUAGUAAUCGUAGAUCAGCAUGCUACGGUGAAUACGUUCUCGGGUCU